Molecule: RNase P RNA, 354 nt
Filed under: Massilia sp. H6
Lineage: Bacteria; Pseudomonadati; Pseudomonadota; Betaproteobacteria; Burkholderiales; Oxalobacteraceae
Description: RNase P RNA component class A
Rfam family: Bacterial RNase P class A
About the family: Ribonuclease P (RNase P) is a ubiquitous endoribonuclease, found in archaea, bacteria and eukarya as well as chloroplasts and mitochondria. Its best characterised activity is the generation of mature 5'-ends of tRNAs by cleaving the 5'-leader elements of precursor-tRNAs. Cellular RNase Ps are ribonucleoproteins.
Source: RNAcentral
GAAGCAGGCCAGGCAGCCGCUGGCCGGUACCUUCGGGUACUGGCGGGAGGAAGGUCCGGACUCCAUAGAGCAGGGUGACGGUUAACGGCCGUCCGCUGAAAGCCGCCACGCGCAAGCGACGGUGGUAUAAGGCGAGGAACAGGGCCACAGAGACGAGCGUAUUAAGUUACGGUGAAACGCGGUAACCUCCACUCGGAGCAAUUCCAAAUAGGCACGCGUUGAUGUUGCUCGCGGAGCGUGCGGGUAGGAAGCUUGAGCGCUGGAGUAAUUCAGCGCCUAGAGGAAUGGCUGUCCAAGCGGCAACUCGCAAGGGAAACCGCUACACAGAAUCCGGCCUAUCGGCCUGCUUUACAC